AGUGAACGCUGGCGGUAGGCCUAACACAUGCAAGUCGAACGGCAGCACAGUAAGAGCUUGCUCUUACGGGUGGCGAGUGGCGGACGGGUGAGGAAUACAUCGGAAUCUACUUUUUCGUGGGGGAUAACGUAGGGAAACUUACCCUAAUACCGCAUACGACCUACGGGUGAAAGCAGGGGUUCUUCGGACUUUGCGCGAUUGACUGAGCCGAUGUCGGAUUAGCUAGUUGGCGGGGUAAAGGCCAACCAAGGCGACGAUCCGUAGCUGGUCUGAGAGAAUGAUCAGCCACACUGGAACUGAGACACGGUCCAGACUCCUAAGGGAGGCAGCAGUGGGGAAUAUUGGAAAAUGGGCGCAAGCCUGAUCCAGCCAUACCGCGUGGGUGAAGAAGGCCUUCGGGUUGUAAAGCCCUUUUGUUGGGAAAGAAAAGCAGCAGGUUAAUACCCCGCUGUUCUGACGGUACCCAAAGAAUAAGCACCGGCUAACUUCGUG
This 492-nucleotide ribosomal RNA is filed under the name uncultured bacterium. RNAcentral's name for it is "partial 16S ribosomal RNA". It matches the Rfam family "Bacterial small subunit ribosomal RNA", at positions 29 to 507 of the family's 1533-position model. The record is from RNAcentral.